GCCCGGCUAGCUCAGUCGGUAGAGCGUGAGACUCUUAAUCUCAGCGUCGUGGGUUCGAGCCCCACGCUGGGCG
Non-coding RNA from Schistocerca nitens (vagrant locust), 73 nucleotides. Lineage: Eukaryota; Metazoa; Arthropoda; Insecta; Orthoptera; Acrididae. The record is from the annotation of a RefSeq genome assembly.